GCUGUCUGUCUUGAUAACCCGUCAGCAUUGCCGUUUUGCUUACCGGGUCUAUAGUGGAUGGUAAAGUGGUAUGGCUGUAGCACCAAGCUCCAUCGUAACAGCCUGGCAUUGUCCUUCAGAUGAGGUUAAGCCAUACCAGCGGGUUUUGAUCUGUGAGCAGGGUGAAUUGCUGUCCAUAGAGGUAGGGCUGUAGUUUUUUGAGGGCCCAAACCACCACUAGGCACUCCUUUUUGACAGCGG
Pelobates cultripes (western spadefoot toad) is the source of this 240-nucleotide non-coding RNA. The record is from the annotation of a GenBank genome assembly. NCBI's taxonomy places the organism in Eukaryota, Metazoa, Chordata, Amphibia, Anura, Pelobatidae.